AAGUCGUAACAAGGUUUCCGUAGGUGAACCUGCGGAAGGAUCAUUACAAAUGGUUUAUACCACACACUACUUGUGCAUUACGUUGCUGGUUGCCUCUCUGCAAAGGAAGGCAGCCGAUAUUAAUUUACACUUUUGAUUACCAGUCUUGAAUCUUUGAUUACAGCUUCCAAGCCUUUACGGGCAUGGGAGUGCUGGGUCAACUAAGGGUUAAAAACUUUUAGCAACGGAUCUCUAGGCUCUC
Molecule: unclassified non-coding RNA, 241 nt
Filed under: fungal sp.
Lineage: Eukaryota; Fungi
Description: partial internal transcribed spacer region
Rfam family: Eukaryotic small subunit ribosomal RNA (bases 1-46)
Source: RNAcentral